ACUCAAAUGAAUUGACGGGGGCUCACACAAGCGGUGGAGCAUGUGGCUUAAUUCGAGGCUACGCGAAGAACCUUAUCCUAGGCUUGACAUGUGCGAAAGCGCUGGGAAGUAGGCUACCGAAAGGCUAGCCCAACGGUAACCAGUCCGGAACCCAGUACAGGUGCUGCAUGGCUGUCGUCAGCUCGUGUCGUGAGAUGUCGGGUUAAGUCCCAUAACGAGCGAAACCCUUGUCUACAGUUGCCAGCGCGUCAUGGCGGGGACUCUGUAGAGACUGCCGGCGUCAAGCCGGAGGAAGGUGGGGAUGACGUCAAGUCCUCAUGGCCUUUAUGCCUAGGGCUGCACACGUGCUACAAUGGUACGAACAAAGGGAUGCAAACCUGCGAGGGGGAGCCAAUCCCAAAAAACGUGCCCCAGUUCAGAUCGGAGGCUGCAACUCGCCUCCGUGAAGUUGGAAUCGCUAGUAAUCGCGGGUCAGCAACACCGCGGUGAAUGUGUUCCUGAGCCUUGCACACACCGCCCGU
RNAcentral lists this ribosomal RNA (521 nucleotides) under uncultured bacterium. Its description in RNAcentral is "partial 16S ribosomal RNA". It matches the Rfam family "Bacterial small subunit ribosomal RNA", at positions 899 to 1397 of the family's 1533-position model. The record is from RNAcentral.